GAGUUACAUACAUUCUUCAAUGUCGAACUGUAGUCACGGUGGUACCGAUAGUAUCUCCAGGCAUGAUGCUUAUAGAAUGAGGUCAGCAUCCUUCAAGAUCAGGACAAGUCACCUUAUCUCUCUAUCCCAUGAGUACUUAGGCCUGAGGCAUAUUAAGAUUGAGGAGUGUAAGUCUCAUACUUUCGAGGUGGAGUUCAGGACCAACAGUUCUGAUGAGGUGUCCUAGAUUAAUUAGUA
RNAcentral lists this long non-coding RNA (237 nucleotides) under Elaeis guineensis (African oil palm). RNAcentral describes it as "long non-coding RNA (EGUI_LNC041014)". The record is from RNAcentral. Lineage: Eukaryota; Viridiplantae; Streptophyta; Magnoliopsida; Arecales; Arecaceae.